UUAGCACUGAAAGACUUUGGAAUUCAGCAUGCAGUUACAACAUCAAAGGAAUGAUGAUGAAGUGUUUCUACUACUUCUCAGCAAAGAGUUCUCUCUCACUGGUAUUCUGAUGAAGGGGAGGGGAGGAGCCACCAGCCAGAAAUGACAAACUUUGAGCACAUGAAGUUAAGACAUGUUUUGGUUUAGAUGUCUGUGAAGAGCCAACACUGCCCAAGAAGCUCAGGGAAGCCCCAGCCUGACUUGCUUCCAGAAAAGGAGGUGGUAGGAAAUGGAAAGGCAAAAGAAAAGCAUUUUAAAGCUUCGUUCUGAACUGUAAAAAAAUAAAAAUGUAAGAAAAACCAAA
Molecule: long non-coding RNA, 343 nt
Organism: Monodelphis domestica (gray short-tailed opossum)
Lineage: Eukaryota; Metazoa; Chordata; Mammalia; Didelphimorphia; Didelphidae
Source: RefSeq, a predicted model, not a curated record